This 1436-nucleotide ribosomal RNA is filed under the name Pseudomonas sp. Its description in RNAcentral is "Bacterial large subunit ribosomal RNA". It matches the Rfam family "Bacterial large subunit ribosomal RNA", at positions 1 to 1410 of the family's 2925-position model. The record is from Rfam by way of RNAcentral. Lineage: Bacteria; Pseudomonadati; Pseudomonadota; Gammaproteobacteria; Pseudomonadales; Pseudomonadaceae.
GAUCAAGUGUCUUAAGGGCAUCUGGUGAAUGCCUUGGCAUGCACAGGCGAUGAAGGACGUGGUACGCUGCGAUAAGCCAUGGGGAGCUGCGAACAAGCUUUGAUCCGUGGAUUUCCGAAUGGGGAAACCCACCUCCGAUUCCUAGAAGAUCGGAACGUCACUGGUUGAGCGAUGAGCUUGGCCGGUGGUGUUGCGGUUUCUAGGGAUCAACAGCGAGGUAUCUAACUCUGAAUCCAUAGGGGUUAGAAGCGAACUCGGGGAACUGAAACAUCUAAGUACCCGAAGGAAAGGACAUCAACCGAGACUCCGUCAGUAGCGGCGAGCGAACGCGGACCAGGCCAGUGGUUCUACAAGAGAGAAGCCGAACAAGUUGGAAAGCUUGGCACGAGUGGGUGAUAGCCCCGUAGGCAUAAUGCUCUGUAGGAUCCUCGAGUAGGGCGGGACACGUGAAAUCCUGUCUGAAAUUGGGGGGACCACCCUCCAAGCCUAAGUACUCGUGCAUGACCGAUAGCGAACCAGUACCGUGAGGGAAAGGUGAAAAGCACCCCGACAAGGGGAGUGAAAGAGAACCUGAAACCGGAUGCCUACAAACAGUGGGAGCCAUCAUUGGUGACCGCGUACCUUUUGUAUAAUGGGUCAGCGACUUAGUCUGGCGAGCAAGCUUAAGCCGAUAGGUGGAGGCGCAGCGAAAGCGAGUCUGAACAGGGCGUUCAGUUCGUCGGAUUAGACCCGAAACCGAGUGAUCUAGCCAUGAGCAGGUUGAAGGUGCGGUAACACGCACUGGAGGACCGAACCCGCAUCUGUUGCAAUAGAUUGGGAUGACUUGUGGCUAGGGGUGAAAGGCCAAUCAAACUCGGAAAUAGCUGGUUCUCCGCGAAAUCUAUUUAGGUAGAGCGUCGGAUGAAUACUCCAGGGGGUAGAGCACUGGAUGGGCUAGGGGGACUCACCGUCUUACCAAACCCAACCAAACUCCGAAUACCUGGAAGUACUAUCCGGCAGACACACGGCGGGUGCUAACGUCCGUCGUGAAGAGGGAAACAACCCUGACCACCAGCUAAGGUCCCCAAGUUAUGGCUAAGUGGGAAAGGAUGUGAGGAUCCCAAAACAACCAGGAUGUUGGCUUAGAAGCAGCCAUCAUUUAAAGAAAGCGUAACAGCUCACUGGUCUAGAUUUAAGGGUUCUUGCGCCGAAAAUGUAACGGGGCUCAAGCCAUACACCGAAGCUGUGGGUUCAUCUUUUAGGAGAUGAGCGGUAGCGGAGCGUUCCCUAGGCUGUUGAAGCCGGACCCGUGAGGGCCGGUGGAGGUAUGGGAAGUGCGAAUGCUGACAUGAGUAACGAUAAAGGGUGUGAGAGACACCCUCGCCGAAAGUCCAAGGGUUCCUGCUUAAAGUUAAUCUGAGCAGGGUUAGCCGGCCCCUAAGGCGAGGCCGAAAGGC